CAGAGGGAGGCUGGAGCAGGAACAUGGGGACAGGAGCAUCUGGGGUAUUUCCAGCACUGGAAAGGAAAUGCUCUGUUGAAAAAGGUGACAAUAAUUGAACUACAUGUGAAAGUGACCGUAAACCACUCAGAUGUAUCCCAUGGAAAAGAAACCAACAGCAUCCACAUCUCUACCUCCCAUUAGCUGUAUCCCCGAAGCAGCCGAACCACCCACCUGAGGGGAAGGGUGACAGAGAGGACGCAGAAUGGAGGAAACAGCAGUCUUAAAUCCUGGUAAUCCUGCCGUUGUUCUCUGACACUUUUAAAGCCUUGGAUGCAUCAUUAUGGGCUGUGUGUUGGGCAAGGAGAUCUUGCAGCAACAGUACCACUCAGGACACAAUUGGGAAAUUCUCUUCCGACGUUUCUGCACCUAGAAGUUUCUGCCAAGUGGUCACUGUGUUCAGAUCUUCAGGAAUUCUAUGGCAAUGCCUAAUACAUGGUGGGCCCUCAAUCAACUUUGGAUUAAUCUGAAAAAGAUAUAAUGAAUAAAUAAAUAAAUGACUGGAGGAAGAAUCUGAGUUUCCUGUAGCCCACUUCUGUUUGAGAUUCUGUUUGUUCUGUGUGAGAAUUAUGAUUUUAUGUAUGAGAAUUAUGAUUAUCAUCCAGUGAGAUACCUGGGCCAUUUUUCUGUAGUUUGAAAAACAGAUGGACUUAAAAAUAUUUUACUGCAGCAGUGGAAGCAUCAUACUUCCAAUUGGCAGUUACUUAACCCUCCACUUAGGGCAAAUCAAAGUUGGAAUAGAAGAUAUUUAGUCAUGGAAGGGAAAGAAUGUAGGAUAUUUGAGUAUGGAAGGGAAAGUAGUAACUUCCACAAACUGAGACAUAGAGAACAAAACGAGCCAUUGCCCACACACUCUGCCUCUCA
This 903-nucleotide long non-coding RNA is filed under the name Equus asinus (donkey). Its description in RNAcentral is "lncRNA (ENSEASG00005034652.1)". The record is from RNAcentral. Lineage: Eukaryota; Metazoa; Chordata; Mammalia; Perissodactyla; Equidae.